AGCGAACGCUGGCGGCAGGCUUAACACAUGCAAGUCGAGCGCCGUAGCAAUACGGAGCGGCAGACGGGUGAGUAACACGUGGGAACGUACCUCUUGGUUCGGAACAACACAGGGAAACUUGUGCUAAUACCGGAUAAGCCCUUACGGGGAAUGAUUUAUCGCCGAGAGAUCGGCCCGCGUCUGAUUAGCUAGUUGGUGAGGUAACGGCUCACCAAGGCGACGAUCAGUAGCNGGUCUGAGAGGAUGAUCAGCCACACUGGGACUGAGACACGGCCCAGACUCCUACGGGAGGCAGCAGUGGGGAAUAUUGGACAAUGGGCGCAAGCCUGAUCCAGCCAUGCCGCGUGAGUGAUGAAGGCCCUAGGGUUGU
RNAcentral lists this ribosomal RNA (370 nucleotides) under uncultured bacterium. RNAcentral describes it as "bacterial SSU rRNA". It matches the Rfam family "Bacterial small subunit ribosomal RNA", at positions 29 to 426 of the family's 1533-position model. The record is from RNAcentral.